Long non-coding RNA from Carya illinoinensis, 1264 nucleotides. RefSeq lists it as uncharacterized. The transcript has 2 exons. The record is from RefSeq and is a predicted model, not a curated record. NCBI's taxonomy places the organism in Eukaryota, Viridiplantae, Streptophyta, Magnoliopsida, Fagales, Juglandaceae.
CGACCGUAAGCGUCCUCAGGUGUUCGUAUGGGAGGAUGGGUGCCAAUUUGUGGGGUUUGUAAUAGAGCUCAUGAGGGCGAAUGUCGGCUGAGUGGUGGACCCCAGUGUUACCGAUGUGGCUGAGUGGAACAUAUUGCUCAUGAGUGUCCCGUCAGAGUUCAAGGAAGCCGUGGAGGUAGACGCAGUGGAAGAACAAAUCCAAGACAAGCAGUGCAAACCCGAUUUUAUACUGUCACACCCAGAGAUGUGGAUGAUGAGGCGCCAGCGACCCAUGAUGCUAGAGUAAUUACAGCACCUGGAGAUAUGGAUGAUGAGGCGCCAGCGGCCCAUGAUGCUGGAGUAAUUACAGGGCAUUUAUGGAAGGAAAGAAAGAAUGAGACCUAUGAGGAAAUAGAAGAAUUGAUUAUGGUUUUAUGGAAUCUCAUCUAAUAGAGAUCAAUUGCACUUCACUCGGAUAGCCAACAGCAGGAGCACGCCGAACAUAUCAUGCUGGACGCAACACGUUGCAGUAGAGUGGGGUUGGUUUAUUUUAUUUUUCACUCUCUUUUCGUUGGAGACCUUCGUGCAGCAAGGAAACUCACACAUGCAGAAAACUUGGGACCACAGCAGCUCACACAUGCAAUAAACCUGUAGCAAGGAAACUCACUCGGACGUGCAGUGGCUGGACGUGUAGGAGAUCAGUUAUGUGCUGCUAGAAGGCAAGCUGUUCAUUUUAGCUUUCUUGCUUCUGCACAUGGAAGGUCACCACGGCAUCACAUGGAUAGCACACACUUGGAAAGCAGCUUUUGGCAUGUGAAGCUGAGAGAUGGAAGCACGUUGAAGACAGCAGGAUGCUGGAACUCACGGAUGGAAGGGAAACAAAUCAACAAACAGAGCCGGACAGCAGCACACCACACGUGCUGACCAUUGCAAGAUAAAUAGAACCAAGCACAUGGCUGGAAGACAAGCUGUUCACUUCACCUUUCUUGCUUCUGCACAUGGAAGUUGAACGUGCAGUAGCAGAGCUUUUUAUUUCUCUUUCUUUUUCGGACAACUGGACGGGAAACAACAGCAGAGUUUAUUCCUUCUUUUUCGUUUGGGUAGCUGGCAACAGUAGGAGCUUUUACUUCUUUUAUUUCUUUCCUACUCAUUGGAGACGCUGGCAGUUUUUCUUUUUCAGACUUCACCUGGUUUUCGUUUAGGAGGAGAGUAGAGUAGUCUGAAGUUUAUUCAUUUUCUCUUCUUUUUCAUUUGGAUGGAAUGACAGUUUUAGUUUUUCUUCUUA